UCCCUGGCGGUCAAGUGGUUAAAACUCUGUGCUCCCAAUGCAGGGGGCACAGGUUCAAGUCCUGAUCAGGGAA
This is a non-coding RNA of Parelaphostrongylus tenuis, 73 nucleotides long. NCBI's taxonomy places the organism in Eukaryota, Metazoa, Nematoda, Chromadorea, Rhabditida, Metastrongylidae. The record is from the annotation of a GenBank genome assembly.